This 198-nucleotide ribosomal RNA is filed under the name uncultured organism. RNAcentral describes it as "partial 23S ribosomal RNA". It matches the Rfam family "Bacterial large subunit ribosomal RNA", at positions 2272 to 2468 of the family's 2925-position model. The record is from RNAcentral.
GACUGGGGCGGUCGCCUCCUAAAAGGUAACGGAGGCGCGCAAAGGUUCCCUCAGGCUGGUUGGAAAUCAGCCGACGAGUGUAAAGGCAGAAGGGAGCUUGACUGUGAGACCUACAAGUCGAACAGGGACGAAAGUCGGCCUUAGUGAUCCGACGGUUCUGUGUGGAAGGGCCGUCGCUCAACGGAUAAAAGUUACUCU